UACGUAGGCACCAAGCGUUGUCCGGAUUUAUUGGGCGUAAAGAGCUCGUAGGCGGUUCGGGAAGUCGGGUGUGAAAACUCUGGGCUCAACCCAGAGAGGCCACCCGAUACUGCCGUGACUGGAGUGCGGUAGGGGAGUGGGGAAUUCCUGGUGUAGCGGUGGAAUGCGCAGAUAUCAGGAGGAACACCAAUGGCGAAGGCAGAUCUCUGGGCCGUAACUGACGCUGAGGAGCGAAAGCAUGGGGAGCGAACAGG
Molecule: ribosomal RNA, 254 nt
Filed under: uncultured bacterium
Lineage: Bacteria
Description: partial 16S ribosomal RNA
Rfam family: Bacterial small subunit ribosomal RNA
Source: RNAcentral